This 371-nucleotide ribosomal RNA is filed under the name uncultured organism. Its description in RNAcentral is "partial 16S ribosomal RNA". It matches the Rfam family "Bacterial small subunit ribosomal RNA", at positions 527 to 896 of the family's 1533-position model. The record is from RNAcentral.
GGAGGGUGCAAGCGUUAUCCGGAUUCACUGGGUUUAAAGGGUGCGUAGGCGGGUAUGUAAGUCAGUGGUGAAAUCUCGGAGCUUAACUCCGAAACUGCCAUUGAUACUAUAUAUCUUGAAUAUUGUGGAGGUUUGCGGAAUAUGUCAUGUAGCGGUGAAAUGCUUAGAUAUGACAUAGAACACCUAUUGCGAAGGCAGCAGGCUACACAUAUAUUGACGCUGAGGGCACGAAAGCGUGGGGAUCAAACAGGAUUAGAUACCCCUGGUAGUCCCACGCCCCUAAACGAUGGAUACUCGACAUACGCGAUACACUGUGUGUGUCUGAGCGAAAGCAUUAAGUAUCCCACCUGGGAAGUACGACCGCAAGGUUG